RNAcentral lists this ribosomal RNA (497 nucleotides) under uncultured bacterium. RNAcentral's name for it is "partial 16S ribosomal RNA". It matches the Rfam family "Bacterial small subunit ribosomal RNA", at positions 28 to 507 of the family's 1533-position model. The record is from RNAcentral.
GACGAACGCUGGCGGCGUGCCUAAUACAUGCCAGUAGAACGCUGAAGAGAGGAGCUUGCUCUUCUUGGAUGAGUUGCGAACGGGUGAGUAACGCGUAGGUAACCUGCCUGGUAGCGGGGGAUAACUAUUGGAAACGAUAGCUAAUACCGCAUAAAAUUGAUUAUUGCAUGAUAAUUAAUUGAAAGAUGCAACUGCAUCACUACCAGAUGGACCUGCGUUGUAUUAGCUAGUUGGUGAGGUAACGGCUCACCAAGGCGACGAUACAUAGCCGACCUGAGAGGGUGAUCGGCCACACCGGGACUGAGACAAGGCCCAGAAGCCUACGGGAGGCAGCAGUAGGGAAUCUUUGGCAAUGGGGGGAACCCUGACCGAGCAACGCCGCGGGGGGGGAGAAGGGUUUCGGAUCGUAAAGCUCUGUUGUAAGAGAAGAACGGGUGUGAGAGUGGAAAGUUCACACUGUGACGGUAUCUUACCAGAAAGGGACGGCUAACUACGUG